Molecule: ribosomal RNA, 253 nt
Filed under: uncultured bacterium
Lineage: Bacteria
Description: partial 16S ribosomal RNA
Rfam family: Bacterial small subunit ribosomal RNA
Source: RNAcentral
UACGGGGGGAGCAAGCGUUGUUCGGAUUUAUUGGGCGUAAAGAGCUCGUAGGCGGCUCGUUGCGUCGGCUGUGAAAACCCGCAGCUCAACUGUGGGCUUGCAGCCGAUACGGGCGGGCUGGAGUUCGGUAGGGGAGACUGGAAUUCCUGGUGUAGCGGUGAAAUGCGCAGAUAUCAGGAGGAACACCGGUGGCGAAGGCGGGUCUCUGGGCCGAUACUGACGCUGAGGAGCGAAAGCGUGGGGAGCGAACAGG